AGUGAACGCUGGCGGUAGGCCUAACACAUGCAAGUCGAACGGCAGCACAGUAAGCGCUUGCUCUUACGGGUGGCGAGUGGCGGACGGGUGAGGAAUACAUCGGAAUCUACUUUUUCGUGGGGGAUAACGUAGGGAAACUUACGCUACUACCGCAUACGACCUACGGGUGAAAGCAGUGGAUCUUCGGACCUUGCGCGAUUGAAUGAGCCGAUGUCGGAUCAGCUAGUUGGCGGGGUAAAGGCCCACCAAGGCGACGAUCCGUAGCUGGUUUGAGAGGAUGAUCAGCCACACUGGAACUGAGACACGGUCCAGACUCCUACGGGAGGCAGCAGUGGGGAAUAUUGGACAAUGGGCGCAAGCCUGAUCCAGCCAUACCGCGUGGGUGAAGAAGGCCUUCGGGUCGUAAAGCCCUUUUGUUGGGAAAGAAAAGAAGCAGGUUAAUACCCCGCUGUUCUGACGGUACCCAAAGAAUAAGCACCGGCUAACUUCGUG
Molecule: ribosomal RNA, 492 nt
Filed under: uncultured bacterium
Lineage: Bacteria
Description: partial 16S ribosomal RNA
Rfam family: Bacterial small subunit ribosomal RNA
Source: RNAcentral